Molecule: long non-coding RNA, 1800 nt
Filed under: Homo sapiens (human)
Lineage: Eukaryota; Metazoa; Chordata; Mammalia; Primates; Hominidae
Description: HSALNT0065834
Source: RNAcentral
CUCAGACCAGCAGAGCCAGCAGCAUCAGAAGGGACCAGAGGGAAUCAGCCUAGGUUCCGUCCUCACUGCCAAGAAACAGCCAGUUAGGCAGCAUCUCCAUUCCUCCCUGUUCUAUCCGCAUGCUGUUCUGCUGAGACUACAGAGUACCUCAGGGAGUCAUGCAUCCUCUUCCUGUUGCUUUACUGAAUCUUAAAGAGUGAUACAGUACUAAUGAUGCCAUUCUAGCAACUGGAGCAGCUUCAGGGGAGAGAGCACAUUAAGGGUGCUGGGAUGGUAAUGGUUGGGAGGAAGCUGAAUGGUAGUAAGAGAGACAUUCUGUCCUGAGAACUCUGAUCCAGGAUCUGAAUGAUGCAGUGUCGCAAUCCCAUUUUAUAAAUGAGGCAACCAAAACUCGAACAGGACCAUAUUGCGACUGAAACAAGGCAUAACAGGUCUUUGACUGGCUAUCCUGUGGAUGUGGACUCAGGCUAGCCUGCGCAAAGUGAAAGACAGGCAAUUAGAUUGAAAAAUACCUGUGAUUCAAAGAAGUCACAAGUCACAGAGACAAACUUUUCCCAGUGUGUUCGAGUCAGAGAACCUUUGCAAAGACCAACAGGCUAAAAGAGAAAAUACAAUGUCAUCUUGAUGCAGAUGAGCAGGUAACCAUGGAAGUCGUGAGCUGAGGCUGCAGAGUCUAGAGCCAGAGUGUGGAAUAAACUUGGGUCUCAAAUCACCCCUGGAGCAAAGCACCCAUCUAAUCAGGAACUUCUACUUUCAACUUUACAUGCGUGAGAAAUGAACUUCUAUCAUGUUAGAGAAAUCCUUACACGGCGCCCUUGAGAGCUUUCAUACUGCAAGUCAUCCAUUUUCCUCCCCUCAAACCUGGCAUCGGAGUUUAUUGAAACAAAGCAAAAUAAAACAAAUAGACAAAGCUCUACCUCCAUCACUUCUGCAGUCUACAUUAACCCCACGUCCAGAAUAUUCACACCUCAGGUCUUUUUCUCACAAUUGAAACACUGGUUCAGAGCCUAACGGAAGGUCUUGGAGGUAAAAACACAACUUGGGGCAACUUUUCCAUUCUGUUCUGCAUGACCCCAAUGGGACUUCUCAGAAACCCCUCUCAUGAAUUAAACUUUGUUCUGUCUAGAGCAUUAGAAUAAGCUUAUGGGCACCUGCCAGGAGAUUAUAAAGUGGGCCAUUUAAAAGAUGACAGAUAUUGAGCACCCUUGACCCUGUAGAAAGAGUGUACCUACUUGCUUUCCCUAGGGCCCUUAAUGGUUUAUAAAAACAAGCACUCACUGAUUCAAAAAAUAUCCUCAUUCCACAGUCUUGCCAUGCCUUCUUUCUGAGCACAUGGCAGUCAGUCUCUAGCACAUCCAGUGUAAGAUAGAACAGAGAUCCCAGGCCACCCUGUGGGAAGGGGUAGAGAAAUGCAAUACAUUUCACAGGAAGUAGAAACCUAGAAAGACCACACAAAAAAACCCCUGCUUUAUGGCAAAGCCAAAGAAUAUUUGUGAAGAUUCCCCGUAAACCAUUAAAUCUGACACAAGUGUCAGAGUAGGAUCACUGUUAACACUUGUUUUUACUAACAAUAAGUGCGUUGUUGCUGACCCUGGCAGAGGAGAACAGAGAGUUCUCGGCAGGGCUUCCAAUACAGAAAACACCUGCCAGGGUGUCUCUGGGUUCCCUCACCCUGGCCAGUCUCUCCAGCUUGCCCACAUCCCUGCCCCAGAGUGGGAACUGUCCCUACUUGCCCGUCUGUAUUCCUGGGCGUCGUUCACUCGGUUGAGUCUCAGCACAUAGCCAUCCUUUCUGUCUUUG